RNAcentral lists this transfer RNA (73 nucleotides) under Camelus bactrianus (Bactrian camel). It matches the Rfam family "tRNA". Rfam says of the family: Transfer RNA (tRNA) molecules are approximately 80 nucleotides in length. Their secondary structure includes four short double-helical elements and three loops (D, anti-codon, and T loops). Further hydrogen bonds mediate the characteristic L-shaped molecular structure. tRNAs have two regions of fundamental functional importance: the anti-codon, which is responsible for specific mRNA codon recognition, and the 3' end, to which the tRNAs corresponding amino acid is attached (by aminoacyl-tRNA synthetases). tRNAs cope with the degeneracy of the genetic code in two manners: having more than one tRNA (with a specific anti-codon) for a particular amino acid; and 'wobble' base-pairing, i.e. permitting non-standard base-pairing at the 3rd anti-codon position. Lineage: Eukaryota; Metazoa; Chordata; Mammalia; Artiodactyla; Camelidae. The record is from Rfam by way of RNAcentral. RNAcentral also lists the same sequence under 1 other name.
GAGGGUAUAGCUCAAGUGGUAGAGCAUAUGCUUAACAUGCAUGAGGUCCUGGGUUCAAUCCCCAGUACCUCUU